CUACGGGAGGCAGCAGUGGGGAAUAUUGCACAAUGGGGGAAACCCUGAUCCAGCCAUGCCGCGUGAGUGAUGAAGGCCCUAGGGUUGUAAAGCUCUUUUGUCAGGGAAGAUGAUGACGGUACCUGAAGAAUAAGCACCGGCUAACUUCGUGCCAGCAGCCGCGGUAAUACGAAGGGUGCUAGCGUUGUUCGGAAUUACUGGGCGUAAAGCGCGCGUAGGCGGCCACACAAGUCAGAGGUGAAAGCCCGGAGCUCAACUCCGGAAUUGCCUUUGAAACUGUAUGGCUAGAGUAUUGGAGGGGAGUGCGGAAUUGCUAAUGUAGAGGUGAAAUUCGUAGAUAUUAGCAGGAACACCGGUGGCGAAGGCGGCACUCUGGACAAUAACUGACGCUAAAGUGCGAAAGCGUGGGGAGCAAACAGGAUUAGAAACCCCGGUAGUCC
Molecule: ribosomal RNA, 440 nt
Filed under: uncultured bacterium
Lineage: Bacteria
Description: bacterial SSU rRNA
Rfam family: Bacterial small subunit ribosomal RNA
Source: RNAcentral